Molecule: ribosomal RNA, 483 nt
Filed under: uncultured bacterium
Lineage: Bacteria
Description: bacterial SSU rRNA
Rfam family: Bacterial small subunit ribosomal RNA
Source: RNAcentral
GACGAACGCUGGCGGCGUGCUUAACACAUGCAAGUCGAACGGUGACCCAGGGCUUGCCCUGGUGAUCAGUGGCGAACGGGUGAGUAACACGUGGGCAACCUGCCCCUGACUUCGGGAUAACUCCUCGAAAGAGGAGCUAAUACCGGAUACGACCACUUCGGACAUCCGAUGGUGGUGGAAAGUUUUUCGGUCAGGGAUGGGCCCGCGGCCUAUCAGCUAGUUGGUGGGGUAAUGGCCUACCAAGGCGACGACGGGUAGCCGGCCUGAGAGGGCGACCGGCCACACUGGGACUGAGACACGGCCCAGACUCCUACGGGAGGCAGCAGUGGGGAAUAUUGCGCAAUGGGCGAAAGCCUGACGCAGCGACGCCGCGUGAGGGAUGAAGGCCUUCGGGUUGUAAACCUCUUUCAGCAGGGACGAAGCGAAAGUGACGGUACCUGCAGAAGAAGCACCGGCUAACUACGUGCCAGCAGCCGCGGUAAU